Molecule: transfer RNA, 66 nt
Filed under: Helarctos malayanus (Malayan sun bear)
Lineage: Eukaryota; Metazoa; Chordata; Mammalia; Carnivora; Ursidae
Also listed under: 5 other names
Description: partial transfer RNA-Sec
Source: RNAcentral
CCGGAUGAUCCUCAGUGGUCUGGGGUGCAGGCUUCAAACCUGUAGCUGUCUAGCGACAGAGUGGUU